RNAcentral lists this ribosomal RNA (547 nucleotides) under uncultured bacterium. Its description in RNAcentral is "bacterial SSU rRNA". It matches the Rfam family "Bacterial small subunit ribosomal RNA", at positions 355 to 896 of the family's 1533-position model. The record is from RNAcentral.
UGGGGAAUAUUGCACAAUGGGGGGAACCCUGAUGCAGCCAUGCCGCGUGAAUGGAGAAGGCCUUCGGGUUGUAAAGUUCUUUCGGUGACGAGGAAGGUUGGUAUGUUAAUAGCAUAUCAAAUUGACGUUAAUCACAGAAGAAGCACCGGCUAACUCCGUGCCAGCAGCCGCGGUAAUACGGGGGGUGCGAGCGUUAAUCGGAAUAACUGGGCGUAAAGGGCACGCAGGCGGUGACUUAAGUGAGAUGUGAAAGCCCCGGGCUUAACCUGGGAAUUGCAUUUCAUACUGGGUCGCUAGAGUACUUUAGGGAGGGGUAGAAUUCCACGUGUAGCGGUGAAAUGCGUAGAGAUGUGGAGGAAUACCGAAGGCGAAGGCAGCCCCUUGGGAAUGUACUGACGCUCAUGUGCGAAAGCGUGGGGAGCAAACAGGAUUAGAUACCCUGGUAGUCCACGCUGUAAACGAUGUCGAUUUGGGGAUUGGGCUUUAAGCUUGGUGCCCGUAGCUAACGUGAUAAAUCGACCGCCUGGGGAGUACGGCCGCAAGGUUA